GACGAACGCUGGCGGCGUGCUUAACACAUGCAAGUCGAACGGAAAGGCCCUGCUUGCAGGGUACUCGAGUGGCGAACGGGUGAGUAACACGUGGGUGAUCUGCCCUGCACUUCGGAUAAGCCUGGGAAACUGGGUCUAAUACCGGAUAGGAGCCAUUUUUAGUGUGAUGGUUGGAAAGUUUUUUCGGUGUAGGAUGAGCUCGCGGCCUAUCAGCUUGUUGGUGGGGUAAUGGCCUACCAAGGCGGCGACGGGUAGCCGGCCUGAGAGGGUGGACGGCCACAUUGGGACUGAGAUACGGCCCAGACGCCUACGGGAGGCAGCAGUGGGGAAUAUUGCACAAUGGGCGCAAGCCUGAUGCAGCGACGCCGCGUGGGGGAUGACGGCCUUCGGGUUGUAAACUCCUUUCGCUAGGGACGAAGCUUUUUGUGACGGUACCUAGAUAAGAAGCACCGGCUAACUACGUG
This 464-nucleotide ribosomal RNA is filed under the name uncultured bacterium. Its description in RNAcentral is "partial 16S ribosomal RNA". It matches the Rfam family "Bacterial small subunit ribosomal RNA", at positions 28 to 507 of the family's 1533-position model. The record is from RNAcentral.